CUGGCAUGGCUCAUCUCAGCUCCUUCUGCCGUGUGCUAUAAAGAUGGCUGGCGUGGGUAUCUACCCAGUCCCUAGGCUGUGAGCAUCCACCCUAAGGGCAAAACCCUCAGCAUACCCUCCCAGCAGAACACUGCAAUAGGAAUGUGCAGCACACAGAGGUUCGGCGACUUUCUGAGGCUCACACCGCUGCUGGCAGAUAGCAUCACAGAGAUUGUGGACUUUAUCUUCCUUGUGAUGGCAUCUUCUGAAGGAGGAAACUGAGGCUUCUAGGAAGCAAAGUGCAUUGCUCACCUUCUUGUGACUAAGGCCUGAAGCUGGACAGUUGACUUGGAGAUCAUGUGCCCAGCCAUGUGAUUUACUCUUAGAAGCCAUGAAAAGAGAUUGUUUUCAAGAUCCAGAGAGAUGGCUGGAGAUAUGUAUGACUCAGCGGUUAAGAGCAUGUACUGCUCUUGCAGAGGACCCAGGUUUGAGUGUGAGCACUCACAACGGCUUACAAGGGAUCCUGCACCCUCUUCUGACCUCUGUGAGCACCUGCACUCAUAAGCACAUACCCCCCAACACACACGUAAUUUAAAAAUAAAAUAAAUAUGUUAA
Molecule: non-coding RNA, 594 nt
Organism: Peromyscus maniculatus bairdii (prairie deer mouse)
Lineage: Eukaryota; Metazoa; Chordata; Mammalia; Rodentia; Cricetidae
Source: RefSeq, a predicted model, not a curated record